This 1083-nucleotide long non-coding RNA is filed under the name Equus caballus (horse). RNAcentral's name for it is "lncRNA (ENSECAG00000031077.2)". The record is from RNAcentral. Lineage: Eukaryota; Metazoa; Chordata; Mammalia; Perissodactyla; Equidae.
GGCUGUGUGUCUAAAUGAAGAUCCAGGAUUACAUUUUAAUAGGGGGAAGACAUAUACAGGCUUUGGAAGAUAAGUAUACUAUGUGAAAUCUUCUGGGAGAAUGGAAAUGUAAAUAUAGCAGAGAAGUGUUGUGGAAAUUCUGACCAGCAGAGGGCUCCUUUUAAUAUUAAUAGUUAUUAAUUUAAAGGCCUGAAGUUAUGAGGGACUAAAGUGAGGAUCAGAACCCAGAACCUAUGGUGUAUAGAGGUCUUCCUUCAAAGAAACACUGGCCUUCAUUUGAGGAACACAGCCAGGCUGAGGGGACCCCACAGGGGUUAAGUAAAAGAUAUCAUAUGGAUUGACUAACACUGAAGAGUCAAGAAUUUUUAAGGAAGCUUCUGCAGCUUUUGGAGUGUGAAUGUAACAGGUUGGGCUCCUCCUCGAGCAAACCCUGACAGUGUGCCUCUAGCUCUCCACCUGGAACUUCCCUGUUGCCACUGAGAAAUCUACCUAGCCUAAGGCUGCAAAGAUAUUCUCCUAUGGUUACGUCCAGAAGUUUUACAGUUUUAUGUCCAUGUGUAUGAUCAAUUUCAAGUUAUUUUUUUACAGUGCAAGGCACGUGGGGAGUUUGUAUCUCCCCAUACCUGAAUUUUUAACUGAACAUAUGGGUUGCUCUAGCUGAAGAAAUGUGUGUAGAACAUGAUGUGUCAUUUCCAGGCUCAAUCACCAUCCUCUCUCUGUCCCUGUGCCAUUGCCUCAGUCCCAGAAUGAGGAGAGUCUCUAGCUCUCUCAUGUAGCAGUAGCAAGAAAUAUAUCUUGAUGAUAUAAGUUACUAAUAAUCUUUUAAUGGCAAAAUAAUCUAUAUAAUAUCAUCUAUCUUGAUUACUACAGAAAUGUAUACCUAGAAAUGUGGUACUUCCAUUAAAAAAACCUUAAAAUAAAGACUGGGAAGUGGGUGGUGAGGAAACUAUUAUCAGAGAUUACAAGAAUGGUGAUCUAUGUGAUGCAACAUGUAAUCAUUUGAUAAAAUUGUUGACAGAGAUAAUCUGGAAGCCAAAUUACAUACCUUGUGAAUUUGUAAAUCAAGAAAUAAAGAUUGCAAAA